UAGGGAAUCUUCGGCAAUGGACGAAAGUCUGACCGAGCAACGCCGCGUGAGUGAAGAAGGUUUUCGGAUCGUAAAACUCUGUUGUUAGAGAAGAACAAGGACGUUAGUAACUGAACGUCCCCUGACGGUAUCUAACCAGAAAGCCACGGCUAACUACGUGCCAGCAGCCGCGGUAAUACGUAGGUGGCAAGCGUUGUCCGGAUUUAUUGGGCGUAAAGCGAGCGCAGGCGGUUUCUUAAGUCUGAUGUGAAAGCCCCCGGCUCAACCGGGGAGGGUCAUUGGAAACUGGGAGACUUGAGUGCAGAAGAGGAGAGUGGAAUUCCAGUUGUAGCGGUGAAAUGCGUAGAUAUAUGGAGGAACACCGGUGGCGAAGGCGGCUCUCUGGUCUGUAACGGACGCUGAGGCUCGAAAGCGUGGGGAGCAAACAGG
Molecule: ribosomal RNA, 429 nt
Filed under: Gemmatimonadota bacterium
Lineage: Bacteria; Pseudomonadati; Gemmatimonadota
Description: Gemmatimonadetes bacterium partial 16S ribosomal RNA
Rfam family: Bacterial small subunit ribosomal RNA
Source: RNAcentral